Molecule: ribosomal RNA, 421 nt
Filed under: uncultured bacterium
Lineage: Bacteria
Description: bacterial SSU rRNA
Rfam family: Bacterial small subunit ribosomal RNA
Source: RNAcentral
UAAGGAAUAUUGGUCAAUGGACGCAAGUCUGAACCAGCCAUGCCGCGUGAAGGAUGAAGGUCCUCUGGAUUGUAAACUUCUUUUAUCUGGGACGAAAACGGGAUUUUUAUCUCAAUUGACGGUACCAGAGGAAUAAGCACCGGCUAACUCCGUGCCAGCAGCAGCGGUAAUACGGAGGGUGCGAGCGUUAUCCGGAUUUACUGGGUUUAAAGGGUGCGUAGGUGGGCUUAUAAGUCAGUGGUGAAAUCUCCGAGCUUAACUUGGAAACUGCCGUUGAUACUAUAGGUCUUGAAUUAUCUGGAGGUAAGCGGAAUAUGUCAUGUAGCGGUGAAAUGCUUAGAUAUGACAUAGAACACCAAUCGCGAAGGCAGCUUACUACAUAUAAAUUGACGCUGAGGCACGAAAGCGUGGGGAUCAAACA